This 460-nucleotide ribosomal RNA is filed under the name uncultured bacterium. RNAcentral describes it as "partial 16S ribosomal RNA". It matches the Rfam family "Bacterial small subunit ribosomal RNA", at positions 338 to 795 of the family's 1533-position model. The record is from RNAcentral.
CCUACGGGUGGCAGCAGUGAGGAAUAUUGGUCAAUGGGCUUACGCCUGAACCAGCCAAGUCGCGUGAGGGAAGACUGCCCUAUGGGUUGUAAACCUCUUUUGUCAGGGAGCAACGCCGGCUACGUGUAGCCGGACUGAGAGUACCUGCAGAAAAAGCAUCGGCUAACUCCGUGCCAGCAGCCGCAGUAAUACGGGGGAUGCGAGGGUUAUCCGGAUUUAUUGGGUUUAAAGGGUGAGUAGGCGGAAUGCCAAGUCAGCGGUAAAAUCGCGGGGCUCAACCUCGCUCCGCCGUUGAAACUGGCGUGCUUGAGUGGGCGAGAAGUAGGCGGAAUGCGUGGUGUAGCGGUGAAAUGCAUAGAUAUCACGCAGAACUCCGAUUGCGAAGGCAGCAUACCGGCGCCCAACUGACGCUGAAGCACGAAAGCGUGGGUAUCGAACAGGAUUAGAUACCCGGGUAGUC